GACGAACGCUGGCGGCGUGCUUAACACAUGCAAGUCGAACGGAAAGGCCUGCUUUCCCUUGUGGAUUGCGGGUACUCGAGUGGCGAACGGGUGAGUAACACGUGAGUGAUCUGCCCCCAACUUGGGUAUAAGCCUGGGAAACUGGGUCUAAUUCCCGAUAGGACUGCAGGGUGGUGCCUGUGGUGGAAAACGAUUUUCUAGUGGUUGGGGAUGAGCUCGCGGCCUAUCAGCUUGUUGGUGGGGUAAUGGCCUACCAAGGCGGCGACGGGUAGCCGGCCUGGGAGGGUGGACGGCCAAAUUGGGACUGAGAUACGGGCCAGAAUCCUACGGGAGGAAGGCGUGGGGAAUAUUGGACAAUGGGCGGAAGGCUGAGGCAGCGACGCCGAGUGGGGGAUGACGGCCUUCGGGUGGUAAACUCCUUUCGACCGCGAGGAAGCCACCUGGUUGGAAGGGUGGUGACGGUAGUGGUAGAAGAAGCACCGGCUAACUACGUG
This 494-nucleotide ribosomal RNA is filed under the name uncultured bacterium. RNAcentral describes it as "partial 16S ribosomal RNA". It matches the Rfam family "Bacterial small subunit ribosomal RNA", at positions 28 to 507 of the family's 1533-position model. The record is from RNAcentral.